This 428-nucleotide ribosomal RNA is filed under the name Bacteroidota bacterium. RNAcentral's name for it is "Bacteroidetes bacterium partial 16S ribosomal RNA". It matches the Rfam family "Bacterial small subunit ribosomal RNA", at positions 355 to 776 of the family's 1533-position model. Lineage: Bacteria; Pseudomonadati; Bacteroidota. The record is from RNAcentral.
UAGGGAAUCUUCCGCAAUGGACGCAAGUCUGACGGAGCAACGCCGCGUGAGUGAAGAAGGAUUUCGGUUCGUAAAACUCUGUUGUUAGAGAAGAACAGCGCAUAGAGUAACUGUUAUGCGUGUGACGGUAUCUAACCAGAAAGGGACGGCUAACUACGUGCCAGCAGCCGCGGUAAUACGUAGGUCCCGAGCGUUGUCCGGAUUUAUUGGGCGUAAAGCGAGCGCAGGCGGUUAGAAAAGUCUGAAGUGAAAGGCAGUGGCUCAACCAUUGUAGGCUUUGGAAACUGUUUAACUUGAGUGCAGAAGGGGAGAGUGGAAUUCCAUGUGUAGCGGUGAAAUGCGUAGAUAUAUGGAGGAACACCGGUGGCGAAAGCGGCUCUCUGGUCCGUAACUGACGCGGAGGCUCGAAAGCGUGGGGAGCGAACAGG